CGCCCGCCGGGCUCCGGGCUGCCGGCAGGCUCCGCGCUGCUGCACCAUUUGUUGGGAAGUUUCUCUCUGCUCGCCGGAGCCUCGGGAAACAAAAAGCAGCUCUGGGGUGAUCCUUCUGCUCCGGCUCCAACCCCGCCGCUUGCUGCGGCCCGGCGCGGUCCCUCCGCUCGCUAGCGGGGCUGCCUGGAGCUGCUCGCCCGUCCCAGGACUGGAGCGGGCGGACGAGCAGGAGGAGGGCAGAGAGGGAUCGAUACGGGUUCAUAAUCCGCGAGAGGACUUUCCUCGGAGCGUGGCGGUGCUGCUGGGUUUCAAACAAACAACAAAAAGUCCUCACACCUCUGUUAGCGAUGCAUGCAGCCGAGUGGCCCGGCCGCCAGCAGAUCCGCGGAGGUGAACCACGCUGCUUUUCGGGAGCUGGGGGCGCACAAAGGGGACCUGAACUUUAUCUUCCCCUGCUGCAGGAUCGCAAGGGCCGCCUCCUUCUUUUUGAAAGGCAAAGAUAUUGCUCGGACUAAAAGUCGAUUUUCUUUUUUCCUGGGGGGCUGGGGGGAAGAGGAGGGCGAGAGCCCAAGUGACAAGAGAUGAUGAUGAAUUCGGCUCAGUGGCCUGUUAUCUGUGACAUUGAGCUGUUAUUUCAGAUAAUGGCUAUUGUUCCAGACGGGGAGGGGAGAGAAGGGAAGAAAAAAAAUCGCGCCCAGCCGAGUUAGGUAGGACAGGAAAAAAAAACAAACCCUUUGUAAAUAACCCCCAAAUCCUGGCCCGAGAUUCCCACAGAGUGGGAACCUCAGCGAGCUCCCGGUUUGCUGGCCCAUUGAUUUCCUGCCCUCCCUUAACUUGUCCAUUGUUGGAGCCUUUUUUUUUUUAAUUUAGCCAUAAAUUGGACCAGCUCGAGCUAUGAGCUGUUCUAUUUUCUUCCUGUCAGGAUGAGGGAUUUGUUUUAUGAUGCAUUGUGUAUUAAAUACAAGUAAUCUGGGAAACUGAUUGCUCGAGCCCAUAGGCCUGAUCAGAGGUUCUGAUAGGAAGCCCGAGCCCCCUCCCUGGAACAAAGCCGCUCUGAAAAGGAGGAAAUGUCGGUGGAUAAACAAAAGGGCUCUUGGUAUCAGUAGCAGGUCCUGGCUAAAUUAGGAUUUCAUGGAAAGGGCUCGCGGAGAGGUUCCCGGGCUGGAGGAGGGAGGGCGGCUCGAGCUGCGGAGCUUGCGGCCGCUGGCCGGUAGAUGGCGUUGCGAGCCGGGCUACCGCGCGCGGCGCAGCUCCGCCGCCUCCCAGGUACUCGAGUGCCUCCAGGGCUGCAGCCAAGGCGGUGGCUGCUGCUAGAAGGUGUGAGCUGAGUGCUGGUCCCCGCAUCAGCUUUACAAGGGGCAGCAUCGGCGCUGUAAAUGAAGAGGGCAGAGCCUGGGCUCUUGCAGCUAUUCUCCUGCCAGGCUUCUGCUCUCCAGGGCUUACUAAACUGCUGGCUGUAAGAUCCCAACCCCCUGCUGCUACACUAGAUGAGUAGGAGUAGGAUUAUUAUGAUCGAUGAUCGAUUGCGAUGAUGCCCUGUUAGCUCAACUCAGACGCCUAGUAAGGCGACUCUGCAAGGCUUCCUCCGUUGUUAUCAGGGGAUGCACCGACACAUUUGCCAAGGAAGUUCCUCACCUGCGUGCAUCCGUGGUCGCCCGCAAAAGCCGGGCAGCAGGCUCGGGGGUUACUCACCCACACAUCUGCGGGCUCUGUAACAGGGCAAACUUAGAUCUCUUUGGAUCUAAAUCAAAUGUAGCUCUCUUGGACACACGCACACACACCCCGCUUCCUAGCAGCUUCUCCCCCGACACUUCUGCACCAAUCCGUUCACAGCAGUUCCCGGUCAUAAAUUAAUCCCGAAAAGCUGCUGUCUGCUGGCGAGCAGGGGGGGCACAGCCGGAGUCGGCGUGUUUCAGCUUUGCACUUGAAACGGGCUAUUAAAAAUCAUGUUUUGCCAUAAUCUUAAAAACCGGCUUGAUUCCAUCCCAAAAUGUAGCGGGGCAGCAGGUCGCUGGCACGAGCGCCGUGGCCGGGGGCGGAGAGCCGCGUCCCCCAAACUCUUGGGCUGUCUCCCUGCGGGGCGAGGAAGGAGCCUGGGCCCGUGCAGCCCGGGGCCCUGGCAAGGGGGGGGGGGGGCUUUCCUUCCCCCCGGCUGCAGGGUGGAGAGAUCAGAGGCAGCAGACGGUCCUGAUGGGAUCCCUCGCUAAGUGAUCCCCUACGUGGGUGUGCCUGUGUUUUCCUCCCGGGUCGAAAGGGGCCCAGGGGCAUCUCUGGCCUCUUCCUCCCUCUUCCUCUGAAGGGUUUGCAGGCCCCCAGUCCUGCCCUGGGACCCACUGGCAAGUGUUUAUUUAAAGUGAGUCCCCGUAUGAGCGGAGGCAGCGAGGAGCUAGUACUUCGGACUGCUAGCUCAAUUCCCACCAGGCUGUAAACUGAUGCCUCUUUUAAAGCCUUUAACUUCAUGGUCGUCCCCGAAGUAAAAGUUCUCCUAAUGGAGACCCUAUGGACAUGGCGCAUUCCAGCACAUCAUUAAAGCAAUGAAAAGCAGCUCAGGCAAAGCCAGAUGAAAUAACUGCACUGUCCACUUUUAAUGGGCUUCCUGUGGGCAAGCGCGCUGCGGAGGACAGCGCUGGAAAACCAGACAAGGCGCUGGCAUGUCUCUCUCUCAAAAAAAUUAAAAAGUACCGUGACUUCAAUCACAUGCUCGUCUAUUAGCCUCGCAUUUAUGGACCGAGCCACUUCAUAGCCACAUGUGUAAGUGGGAUUUAACGUUAUAUUUCUCAAGGCGACUAAACACAACACUGAGCAUCCUGGCUAAUGCUGCGGGGAGCUUCUUUCCAGCACGGGACAAGUGGACUUCAAAACAAACCCGAUGCAAAAAGCCCUUCUCCAACGCAGCCGGAGCGGCCAAGUCCACUAGAAACCCUGAAAACGAUUCAACCUCCCUGAGCUUUAUAACGUGAAAGAUACGGACCGGUGUUUGAAAACUAGGACGGGCAGGAUGAGAGAGGGCUGGUCCCUGCGCGGGGCCGGGGCCGGGGCCGGGGCCGGGGCCGGGGCCGAGCCCGCCCCGCGGCUCUGCGGCCCCUCCUGCCUCCCGUUUGGGUGGAUUCCUUCCUCCCAGCCAAAGGGCUGUUUGAGAGAGGGGAGGAAAUUAAAGGUAAAAAAAUGUAAAUAAAAAAUUUCCCUUGGUCUGGAAAUGGGCCCAACUGAAAGCAUGUUAAUCUCCACCUCAGUAAUUUGGUUCUUCUGGAGAAGACAGAAGCCCCGCUGCUGUGCCCUGCACUUCAUAAAUCACGUCUUUAUGUGGACAAGGUCAGGGCACCUAACAGCUCAGACAUGGGCCUUUGCAGUGGCUCGGAGGGCUCCGGCAUGUUUAUUCUCUCGCACAGAUCUCCGAGGAGCAGUCCAGCACGCUUCUAAUUACUUUUGAUUAUUUUCAUUUGCUGGGGUCAGGCUGGCUUUGCCAGGACUGCUGGAGGGCUGGUUUCUUUACACAUCCCCCUUGUCUGUGCGGGACACGGCGGGGUCCCAGCGCCCACGUCUGGCCGGGUGUCCCCCUGCCACAUCGCCGAGUCCCCCACUUGGGCGCUUCCCGGCUGCUCCCCCGUUCCUAAUUAAACUAUAAAACUAAUCACGGCUUGGCCACAGCCCUGAGCUGCGAGUCGGGGUAGAGGGAGGGAGAGCUGACCUCUUGUUUUGCUGGAGCAAAGAACAACUAGCAGCCCCCCCCCGGUUGAUUUGAAAUCUAUUUAGUACAUUUUCAACCUGGUUUGGAAGUGAAGAGAUACUAUUUCUAGGCUGAGAGUCUGCUACUGCUCUACCCGGUCCCGCGAUCAAUCGCUCCGAGUAUUAUUUGCAGAGUUAUCCUAGAAACUCAAGCCUCUGAAAAUGUUUUUUCCCCCUCUAGACAGAUGUUCAGCACAAUUCGGAGUCGUAACCUCCAGCUACUGCAGAUAUAUGCAAUUACGGGCUUUGCUUCUUAAACCAGACCGCCCUGUUGCUAAAUUAACUGCGAAAAUAAUUAAAACAAAAAAAAAAUCAGUCAAUUGAAAAACAAACGAACGAAAAUGGAAACAUUCCCCAAAUGCCCCCCUCCUCCCCAGCUCAAAUCUUGCACGUUAUAUAAAACGGAGGUACGGGCGAGGCUUCGAGUACGUCGAGGCGAUUUUCCCACAAAAAUGCACAUAAUGCGUGCUCAGCAGACUGAAAACUUCCAGUUCCUCUGAUAGCUGGAGGUACUUUUAUAAUCACGGAUUUGUGUGCUUGUGUGUACAGAGACAGAGUGUGUGUAUUUCUGCUGCUAUAUGGUGUGAUCACAACGUAUGCUUCUGCCUUAUUAGUGGUGAAGAAAGAUCCUGCGCGUCUAUGUAUCCGGACACACGCAUCCAAAAGACGUGCACGGAUUGAUGCUCCAGCCAGGCAGGCACACGCCAAUGCACGCAGACAGACACGGAUCCACACUAGCCCCCAAACGCUGGACGUGUGUAAUCUGUGACCUUUUCAACACUUGGGGGGAUACAUGCAUGGCUAUCAGCCCUUUCGACACCCUCGCUAUCUGCAAUGUUCCCUGUCCUGCCCCGAUCCUCAGCAGUCCUGCUCCUGGCAGGAGUUUCACAACUAACUGCGUGCUCAGCAGAAGGGCUCCUCUUCUUUUCUUCCCUUUGAAAAUUCACCCUGCUCAAAAAACGGGGGCUUUAUCCCCAGAUCUGAGCGCCACCGGCUCAUUCCUCACUUUUGCUUCCAUUUUUAAAUUUCUUUUAACACAUUAAAAAAGAAUCCCGA
Long non-coding RNA from Alligator mississippiensis (American alligator), 4782 nucleotides. RefSeq lists it as uncharacterized. The record is from RefSeq and is a predicted model, not a curated record. NCBI's taxonomy places the organism in Eukaryota, Metazoa, Chordata, Crocodylia, Alligatoridae. The transcript is spliced from 2 exons.